UGUGCCGUAACACUGUUUCUUUCGCGGACAUCCAUCCAGCUUGAGCUUGAGCUUACCUAAAACCUCUCUGUGAUUUCUCUCAGGAAAAGGAGAGCUGCCAUGCAUGCCUGCCGUUGCGUUGAUGGCGCAUUCAACCGCUUGCUGGGUGGCUUUAUGAUUUGCAGGGCAGGUGGGGGGAUUGAAUCGCACUGGCAUGUUUUAACUUCACCAUUACUCAUGUCGGCUGACCAUGUCUUUGAAUUAUUGUUGUUCGGACGGGUGUGGUGUUCAUCGUAGCGCCUGGUGUUAAUGUUGUUCGCUUCUCCUGAGAGUAAUUUAAUUAUGUUUUGCAGUGUUCUAUUGUGAUUACCGUACUCGGAUUACGUAAACAUGGUCCAACAUGGACUUAAUGCUCCAUUAUCACAACCGUUGCAGUGUAUUAUUGAUAGGCCUCCCGUAAAAGAAAAAGUAUUAUUGAUAGGCCAUCAUGCUAUAUACGUACGACACGGCAUGCACUGGCAGAUACAUGCAAAUACAUAAAGCACCCAGAGAGAAGAAUUACAUACGGGGACUAGAGCAAAUCCAUUGCCCGGGAUACAAAUGGGAACUACAUCAAAUCAAUCUCGCUGGAUACAUAUGGGGGCUAGAGCAAAUCCACUAGACCGGGGGGAGAUUCAGAGCUUGUGCAUGCAGAUAAUGGCCAUGAGCAGCAGGUUCACGACACCGAGGAUGAACACAUGGUUGUGAGCGGGGCGGGUGGCAAGCUAAGAGAGAUGAAGAAGCAGAAGUGAGAAUAUGGUUUGAGCGAGCAAGCAUGGGGUUUAAAAGGACCGCGAUGAGCGUCACUGAGAUGCGUG
This 836-nucleotide long non-coding RNA is filed under the name Triticum aestivum (bread wheat). RNAcentral describes it as "long non-coding RNA (TAES_LNC013038)". The record is from RNAcentral. Lineage: Eukaryota; Viridiplantae; Streptophyta; Magnoliopsida; Poales; Poaceae.